UACGUAGGGUGCGGGCGUUGUCCGGAUUUAUUGGGCGUAAAGAGCUCGUAGGCGGUUUGUUGCGUCGGCUGUGAAAACCCGGGGCUCAACUCCGGGCCUGCAGCCGAUACGGGCAGACUAGAGUUCGGCAGGGGAGACUGGAAUUCCUGGUGUAGCGGUGAAAUGCGCAGAUAUCAGGAGGAACACCGGUGGCGAAGGCGGGUCUCUGGGCCGAUACUGACGCUGAGGAGCGAAAGCGUGGGGAGCGAACAGG
This 253-nucleotide ribosomal RNA is filed under the name uncultured bacterium. RNAcentral describes it as "partial 16S ribosomal RNA". It matches the Rfam family "Bacterial small subunit ribosomal RNA", at positions 524 to 776 of the family's 1533-position model. The record is from RNAcentral.